AUAAACUUUACUAUAAACAUAA
RNAcentral lists this small nuclear RNA (22 nucleotides) under Arabidopsis thaliana (thale cress). RNAcentral describes it as "snRNA_08482". The record is from RNAcentral. Lineage: Eukaryota; Viridiplantae; Streptophyta; Magnoliopsida; Brassicales; Brassicaceae.